RNAcentral lists this ribosomal RNA (468 nucleotides) under uncultured bacterium. RNAcentral describes it as "partial 16S ribosomal RNA". It matches the Rfam family "Bacterial small subunit ribosomal RNA", at positions 28 to 507 of the family's 1533-position model. The record is from RNAcentral.
GGCGAACGCUGGCGGCGUGCUUAACACAUGCAAGUCGAACGGAGAGGCCCUGCUUUUGUGGGGUGCUCGAGUGGCGAACGGGUGAGUAACACGUGAGUAACCUGCCCUUGACUUUGGGAUAACUUCAGGAAACUGGGGCUAAUACCGGAUAGGAGCCCCCGCUGCAUGGUGGGGGUUGGAAAGUUUCGGCGGUUGGGGAUGGACUCGCGGCUUAUCAGCUUGUUGGUGGGGUAGUGGCUUACCAAGGCUUUGACGGGUAGCCGGCCUGAGAGGGUGACCGGCCACAUUGGGACUGAGAUACGGCCCAGACUCCUACGGGAGGCAGCAGUGGGGAAUAUUGCACAAUGGGCGGAAGCCUGAUGCAGCAACGCCGCGUGCGGGAUGACGGCCUUCGGGUUGUAAACCGCUUUCGCCUGUGACGAAGCGUGAGUGACGGUAAUGGGUAAAGAAGCACCGGCUAACUACGUG